AAAACAUCGCCUCUUGGAAAACAUAAGAGGUCCAGCCUGCCCAGUGACACUGUUCAACGGCCGCGGUAUCCUAACCGUGCGAAGGUAGCGUAAUCACUUGUCCUUUAAAUGAGGACUAGUAUGAAUGGCACCACGAGGGUUAUACUGUCUCCUUUCUCUAAUCAGUGAAACUAAUCUCCCCGUGAAGAAGCGAGGAUAUUUCUAUAAGACGAGAAGACCCUAUGGAGCUUUAAACAAAACAACAUCUGCUACUUUCACUUACCGAUUUCAGAAAAUUAACUCUUAUUUUAGCAUUCUACUUGUUAGUUUUAGGUUGGGGUGACCGCGGAGCAAAAAAUAACCUCCACAUUGAAAGGGACUUCCCCUAAGCAAAAAACCACAACUUUAUGCAUCAAUAAAUUGACAUUAAUUGACCCAAUAUUUUGAUCAACGAAACAAGUUACCCUAGGGAUAACAGCGCAAUCCACUUUGAGAGUCCAUAUCGACAAGUGGGUUUACGACCUCGAUGUUGGAUCAGGGUACCCCAGUGGUGCAGCCGCUACUAAAGGUUCGUUUGUUCAACGAUUAAAACCCUA
RNAcentral lists this ribosomal RNA (575 nucleotides) under Gastrotheca orophylax (Papallacta marsupial frog). RNAcentral's name for it is "partial 16S ribosomal RNA". It matches the Rfam family "Bacterial large subunit ribosomal RNA", at positions 1810 to 2598 of the family's 2925-position model. Lineage: Eukaryota; Metazoa; Chordata; Amphibia; Anura; Hemiphractidae. The record is from RNAcentral.